GGGCUUCAGGGUCCUGGUGAGCUACAGUUCAUUCAUCCUCUUUGUGCUCUCCUGUUUUUUUAAAUGCUCAAAUACUACAUUAUUUAAGAAUUAACUUUAAAGCGAAGGCAGUAGACAGUUAAAGGAGCCGACUCUGGGACCAGCUGUGUGUAGACCAGACCAGUUACUUAUAAGGAGGGGAACGAGAUCGGAUGACAGCCAAUCAUGAGAGCUAUCUCCUCAUGGCGAGCACCCAGAAUGACAUGGAAGACUGGGUGAAGUCCAUCCGCCGAGUCAUAUGGGGACCUUUUGGAGGAGGUAUUUUUGGACAGAAACUGGAGGACACGGUCCGAUAUGAGAAGAGAUACGGGAACCGGCUGGCGCCCAUGCUGGUGGAGCAGUGCGUGGAC
RNAcentral lists this long non-coding RNA (389 nucleotides) under Rattus norvegicus (Norway rat). RNAcentral's name for it is "long non-coding RNA NONRATT009732". The record is from RNAcentral. Lineage: Eukaryota; Metazoa; Chordata; Mammalia; Rodentia; Muridae.